CCUACGGGUGGCUGCAGUGAGGAAUAUUGGUCAAUGGACGCGAGUCUGAACCAGCCAUGCAGCGUGAAGGAUGACUGCCCUAUGGGUUGUAAACUUCUUUUAUAAAGGAAUAAAACGCGACACGUGUGCCUUUUUGCAUGUACUUUAUGAAUAAGGAUCGGCUAACUCCGUGCCAGCAGCCGCGGUAAUACGGAGGAUCCGAGCGUUAUCCGGAUUUAUUGGGUUUAAAGGGAGCGUAGAUGGGUUGAUAAGUCAGUUGUGAAAGCUUGCGGCUCAACCGUAAAAUUGCAACUGAUACUGGCAGUCUUGAGUAUAGUUGAGGUAGGCGGAAUGCGUGGUGUAGCGGUGAAAUGCAUAGAGAUCACAAAGAACCCCGAUUGCGAAGGCAGCUUACUAAACUGUGACUGACAUUGAUGCUCGAAAGUGUGGGGAGCAAACAGGAUUAGAUACCCUGGUAGUC
This 460-nucleotide ribosomal RNA is filed under the name uncultured bacterium. RNAcentral describes it as "partial 16S ribosomal RNA". It matches the Rfam family "Bacterial small subunit ribosomal RNA", at positions 338 to 795 of the family's 1533-position model. The record is from RNAcentral.